CAAUAGCGUAUAUUAAAGUUGUUGCGGUAAAAAAGCUCGUAGUUGGAUUUCUACCGAAGAUAGCCGGUCGGGUCUUCGACCUUGUAUCUGGUUUUGUCUUUGGUAUCCUCAUAGGGAACGUUUCUGCGCUUUAUUGCGUGGUGCGGUAUCUAUGACUUUUACUUUGAGGAAAUUAGAGUGUUCACGGCAGGCAAACGCCUUGAAUAUAUUAGCAUGGAAUAAUAACAUAGGAUCUUCGUCCUAUUUUGUUGGUUUCUAGGACUAAGAUAAUGAUUAAUAGGGAUAAUUGGGGGCAUCUGUAUCAACGCGUCAGAGGUGGAAUUCUUGGAUUGCGUUGCGACAAACUACUGCGAAAGCAUUUGCCAAGGAUGUUUUCAUUGA
Molecule: ribosomal RNA, 381 nt
Filed under: uncultured eukaryote
Lineage: Eukaryota
Description: partial 18S ribosomal RNA
Rfam family: Eukaryotic small subunit ribosomal RNA
Source: RNAcentral